GCCGAAUUCAGCAGAAGAAACUUUCAUCACUCUCUCUAACCCACCACCAGCAAGAAGUUACGUGCAGAGCUACAAAUUUUCUCAAGUUGACUCCAGUUUCUAUUCCAACUACUUACCAGAAAAGGCCAUCUGUGUAUUGCUGGGAAAAGUAUAAAGUUCCCAACUGAGCAUUCUGCCUCGGCCUUAUGAUAAUGAUGAAAACCCGAUAUGUUCUUCUGUCUCUCUUCACAUUCACAAUCUUUCUCAAUCCAGG
Molecule: long non-coding RNA, 253 nt
Organism: Zootoca vivipara (common lizard)
Lineage: Eukaryota; Metazoa; Chordata; Lepidosauria; Squamata; Lacertidae
Source: RefSeq, a predicted model, not a curated record